GACCGGACCGGCCCCGUGGGCAGCAGCUCCACCCUCCGGCAGGGGCCCCGCCCCCGCCCCAACCGCUCGCUCUCCCUUGGCCCGGCCAAGCGCUCGAUCCGGAAACACCGACACCACGGGGCAGAAAGGGGCUUCGUAGAGACGGCGGCGGCACGGGCUCAGCUCGGCGCCUGCCUGACACCACAUCCCAGGCCUGGGCUCCAUCCCCAGCACCAAAAGGGUGGACGUGGACGAGGAAAAGAACAGCGACAUCCACACCAGCAUCUUUGAUCUCUCCAACCCAGUGACCGUGACGGAAGGUUUUAGGGAUGAGGUGGCAACCGCACCGGCCUCCUGCUCCCCAGACCUGGCCCAGCGCCCCAGCAACUGGGCUCCCACGGCAGAUGCCUGCUCUGUGGCCCCGGGACACCCUAGCUUCAAGUCAGUUAUAGGAGGUCGCUGUUCACAAAGCCCGCCUCAGGGUCGCCGUCGGUUACGAGCUGCAGCGCCCGCCCGCACUCUCCUGGGCUGGACGUGAUCCACGCGCCCACUACCCUCCCCCUGGUGCGGCUGCGUCGGGACACACUCGUCGGGACACACUCGUCGGGACACACUCGGGACACACUUCUGCCUCGGCCCGGCUCCGCCAGCCGAAUGUGAGCCAUUCAAAGCAACGUCACAAACCACGCCCGGGCUACACCACACUGCUCCUCUGGUCACCUACGCAGGCUGGAAUUUGGACACAGAGCACCAACUCCGAGUGGAGCAGCGCUUUACGGAAGUCAGUCAGGGCUGGAACACCCCAGCUUCCGGUUUCGCAGCGUGCAGCCUUCUACGGCGAUCGACUCCAGAAGGAAGGGGCGAGGCGCGGUGGCCUCUCCGUGAGACUCGCAUCUCAUGGAGUCAGCACUCUGAGGAAGCUCGAGGCCCUGUGUCGCCCUCGUCCCCACCCUGCGCUGACUCCACCGCGUCGUCCGUCACUCCAGGCCGCGCACGUACCGCGCAGACACCGUCCACUGGGGAGCACGGCGGGGAGAGGGCGGCAACCCCCGAGGAGUGUGUGCAAAGUGAGGCGACAAAGGCCGGGAGCCACGAGCGAAGGGCCCGACUGCGCCCAGGGAUCCCAGCAAGGAGGCCAAGUCACGUGGGACAGAGGCACGUGUCCGCAAGGGCCGGAGCCAGGCCUGGGCGCGGGUCUCACGGGAAUGGAGUCGCCAGAGUCGCGAGCUCGCAGCCUGGUCCCCACACCAGCAGCCUCUGCCUGACCUGCGGUCUGACCCCAGCAAACGCAGUGCCGGGCGACAGCUUCCCCACAGCUCAGGGGACCCCACCCCACCCUGCCCCGCCGGAAGAGGACGUACCUCACCUACCCUGAAUCUCAAGGAAUCCGGUGCAAUUAUCAGAAACGCAGGCUGAUACCCCUCACCCACAAUGACACCAGAGUGUCUGGGACUUCUUUAAAUUCUGGAACCUUUGCUCACCCACGGGAAAUAGGGCAGGGCUAACACCACGCGCUCCCUACAGGGCUCGCACGCGCAGCCUGGGACGCAGUGUUACUGGCGCUGCUGCACCUUGGCCACAGGCGUCACGCGGUCGGAAGAGACCUCCCUGGUGGCACCGCAGGAGGUUCCCUGCCCCAGCCCUGUGCCUGGCGCUGCUGAAGCGGCCCCGCCCUUCCCUUCCAGAGUAAGUCAAAGGCCCUGGACCUGCUGGGGCCUCACCCGGAUCCUCUCCUGGGAAGGAGGCUUGCUCUUUGCCUCUGUCACUCUCACAUGGUUCUGUCCCUGUCUUAUCUGUGCUGCUGGUCUGCGAAUUCCGCAAGGACCAAGGCUGCAGCGCUCAGGGCUUCCUCCCAGGUGCCCAGCUCCUCCACCGCAGCUCACAGCCCAGAGCCACUCGGAUCCCGGACGCAGCAGGCCUGACGGGGCCGUUCACUGAGCUGAUUCUGAGUCUGGGAUUCAGUGUCCUCGGAGUUGGGGACGGGGGAGGGGCAGGAGGCCAAGACGCUUUCAGGAGCUGUGACCACCAAAGCUAUUCUGCUCAGUGUGGAUAAACUGAGGGAGAAGUCUUUUCUCUCUGGUCAUGCCUGAAGCUGAAUUUAGACCGUUUCGAAUUCCAAACACCUCUUCCAAAGUGACUCACCUUGAGGCCGCUCUGCUUUCAACAGCUGUGAUAAGCAAUCCCCAAGUAAAUUAAAAGAACUAAAAACACGAAGUCAGUUAACUCUCGCCACCUCCCAGCUGUCGCUCUGGCCUGUUACUCAGUCGGGACAGCCACCCGCGCUCAGCGGACCACUGCUGGCAGCGCCUUCCCUUCUCCCCCACCUGCUCUGCAGUCCACCUCCUUCCGGUGUCGGCAAGAAAUGGGAAGGGGCAGGAACACAGAGAUGGGCAGGGUGCAGCACACCCUCUCACAGAGCUUGGCACAUAAUCCCAGCACUCUGAGGGGCUGAGGCAGGAGGGUUGCAGGUUAGAGCCCAGCCUGAGCAACUUAAUGAUUACCAAGACCCUGCCUCAAAUAAAAAAUGGCUAGUGGUGUAGCUCAGGGUGAAGGCUCUGGGUUCGAUCCCCUGAACCAGGAAAAACAGGCGCUACCAAUAAUCACUACACAGUGCAAGGACGUCCUGGUGCAGCACAGCCUGGCCCUGGGAGGAGCAGCAGGCCCUCAGAGGACCAGGACCGUGUCGCCUGCACAGCAUGUGAUGUCCCGGUGGCUCCAGCAGGCCCAGCAUGCUGUCACACACAGCCAGAGGCGAAGCUGCUGAAAUACGAGGAUGGGAGGAUGCGGAGGCCAGACAAGGGGCAGUCAGUGCUCAACCGCGGGCCGCACCUGUGCUGCAGAAGUGUUGAAGGAAUCAAACGCAGGACCUUGAGCUUGCCAGGCGCAGCCCCACUGAGCUACAUCCCAGGCCCCAACCCUGCUUGGUUUUAAAGAACACGGUACAAGAAGGCCUGGACUGGAACUGCAAAGUGGCCCUCAGAGCUCGGAACAGAAGGUGGCUCCGCUCCAGUGGCACAGGGGAGCCACUACGCAGCCUCCUCUGUUCCCAACCCCGGGGCGGCCGUUUCUGCCCACACCUGGGCCUUGCAGGCGUCACUCAGUGAGGGUAGGGAGGGCAGGCAGCAAAGUGCUGACCGAGUUUGCACCAGUCCCUACCCUCCUGGGCUCCUCGGACUCCAAACUAGCUGCCCUCCCCACCUUCCCGGGACUCCCAUGUGGCCUCUCCAGUAUCUGUCCUCCAAGGGCAAAAAAGCAAGCUUUCCACUCCACCGCAUCUGCCACAACUGCCCGCCACACCUCUGGGGGCAACAGCACCCUGCCCAGCCCGGGUCCCACCAUCCCCACUCAGCUCGCCCCGGCCCCACAGCCUCCAGAGGUCCCACCUGCAGAUCUCCCAGGACAGGACGGCUAAGUGUCACUCCCCACCUUCAAAUCUGAAGCAGCUGUCCCUAGCUCCCCGAGCUGGUGUCCCCCCUGGCACGCAGCUCCCAGAGCAGGGCCCUGGCCAGCUGGACGUGCCCGAGUACCCUGGCUGCACUGUGCUGGGGGGGACCCCACGCCCGCUCCACUCCUGGGCCUUUUCCUCCAGCAGCUCGGACCACGCCUUGUGUAAGGACAGUGCAGGGAGGUGGAAAUCCUGGACGCCCUCCCUGCAAGCACCAUCAUCUCUCCCCGAUUAUGCCCCUCUCCUCGCCUGCAGAGGUGAGGAGCUGCGAGCUCUGGGGCAAACUCGAGGUGGAGAAAAGACAGUCUGCAGCUCCCGUAAGCUCCUGAGAGAUCCGCCAACCUUCUGGUCAGCUUGGACCUCCACAGGGACGUCUCCAUUUUUUCUUUCUCUGCUCUAAGUAAUUAUGGUUAUGCUCUGAAGAGCAGCACUGAGUCAACCAUCAGCCAAAGGAAUAUCAAGGCCACUGUGUGUCCUGUCUCAGACCUGAACCUAUUAUGGCCCGGGAAUGGGAUGCUCCACCCACAGUGCACGGGGCACAGAGCACAGGCACAGCGCCCACGAGGGCUCCCGGAGCAGCGCUUCGCCUGAGCCCGACUGGACCCGACCGGACGCCCCAGCACGCACACCGAAGUGGAGCACCGGUAAUGCGCACCCUGCCUGACCAUGUACUCGCUACCACGAGAAGCUGAAGCUGCGGCUCUGUAACAGGUCACACCAUGGUUAUCUACCACUUUCCUAUGCUUGUGCCUUAAGGGAUUUUUGGUUACAAUAUUUGAAACUUAAAAUAGUACUGAGUUAUAAAUUUGAUUCUAGAAGAACAACUGAGUAUGUGUUUCAAAAGUUCAGUACUUACCAACCAAAAGGGCAUUUUGAUCAACAAUUUGGUUCCAUUAUCAUCCAGGUGAUUUGUUUUUAAAUUUAUUUUAUGGAGAAAAAAGGCUAGAAAUGACCUGGUGUACAAGUCUGUGAAACUGCUUUUCCUGCCCGUGGCCCGAUCACGUUUAGGACCUGAAGUCUCUAGCAGACAGACACGUGCUUUGGGUAACUCGGGAUGUUACGUGCUUUAACGCUCACGGCCUCCCCAACGCCCCGUGGUCCCUAGAGUUCCUAGGGUCAGCUUAGCUCAGGAAGACAGCACUUUCAGGUCCCAUCCACCACUCAACAUAAGUGCACCUUUCAUUCCAGUCCUAUCAGCUGUGUUCCUCCCUCAGUUCCAGCUGAUUAAAGAAAAAUGUUCCGUUCAGUACCUGGCACCCCGCCGCACUCGAGCAUUUCAGCAGUGCGUGGCUGCCGAGGUGGCAGAAUGCUACCUCUCACACCCACGGGCCUCACUCUCAGGACACUGGUUGGGAGAGCUGCGGAGAAGUCUGCAGCCCGCGCACACCACAGGCCACCCCAGGGAGCUGAGCAACCGGGCAGCACAGGGGCUUAGACUAGCUUUGGAAGGACUCCAAGGAGUGCCACACACCGACCCAAAGAGAUGAACAACUGCAGUUUUCCUGAAACCUCCAGAGAGCUUUGUUUCACUGUUUCUACUGUGCACCAGGGAGGAGCUGAGGGAAGGGACUGCUCUUCCUCAGGGCAGUGCAUGAGUCAGGGGCCGCCCAUCCCCUCCAGAUAAAUAAAUCCUCUUUAAUUUUUAAAGUC
Non-coding RNA from Heterocephalus glaber (naked mole-rat), 5074 nucleotides. NCBI's taxonomy places the organism in Eukaryota, Metazoa, Chordata, Mammalia, Rodentia, Bathyergidae. The record is from RefSeq and is a predicted model, not a curated record.